Molecule: ribosomal RNA, 254 nt
Filed under: uncultured bacterium
Lineage: Bacteria
Description: partial 16S ribosomal RNA
Rfam family: Bacterial small subunit ribosomal RNA
Source: RNAcentral
UACGUAGGGUGCGAGCGUUGUCCGGAAUUAUUGGGCGUAAAGAGCUCGUAGGCGGUGUGUCGCGUCGGCCGUGAAAACUUGCAGCUUAACUGUGGGCGUGCGGUCGAUACGGGCAUCACUGGAGUUCGGCAGGGGAGACUGGAAUUCCUGGUGUAGCGGUGAAAUGCGCAGAUAUCAGGAGGAACACCGGUGGCGAAGGCGGAUCUCUGGGCCUUACCUGACGCUCAGGUGCGAAAGCUAGGGGAGCGAACAGG